This 860-nucleotide long non-coding RNA is filed under the name Homo sapiens (human). Its description in RNAcentral is "HSALNT0109882". Lineage: Eukaryota; Metazoa; Chordata; Mammalia; Primates; Hominidae. The record is from RNAcentral.
UUUACUUUGAUUUCAUAAAUAAUGCAUCAUUAAUAUCUUAUCUGAGGGCAGAAACCAUAUUGGUACAACUUUCCAAAUAUUUAGUACAAAUUGGGUUUGUUGAUGAAUAAAAUGAAAUAAAAUUGUGUAUGGGAGUCAGUCCUACGUUUUCAUAGUCUUGAUACUGGCUAUGAAAGAGUGGCUACCUCACACAUAAAACUCCACUUGGCUGCUAAUUUCCAUGCCAUGACACCAGCUUAUGACACAGACCUUAGCACUAAGCCUAAAUAGUUUACCUCGGAACCUAGAUCAUAAAGGUAUAACUUGGGACAUAGGGUGGAAAAGAAUCUCUAAAAUACAGAUGCCUGGUUUUUGUGGGUUUUCUCAAUUCUGCGUAGGGGUCCAUCUUCUCCAGACUGGCUUGGAUUGCAAGAAGCUGCAUCUUCCUACAGAACUAUUGUGAUAAAAAUGUGAAACAACACGGGGUCCCAGUUCAGACCUGAAUGAGGUACCAAAGGUGAUUUUUGCACCACUGAUGCUCACUCUCCAGCACCAUACUGCAACCAGAUGCCCCAUUCACUUGACGAGGUGUGCUGCCAACAGGACUGGCAUUUUUGCUAUUGACCAACAUUAGCUGGCAUGGUUACAAGAGUCUGGACAGCCAGUUAAUCCUUAAAGAUAUGUCUUCUUUGAUUGUGUGCUAUAACAUUAUUCUUGCAAGUACUAUUUUCUAAAGGACUUCUGAAGCAAUAGAAAAAGCCGUAAAUUGCUUUCCAUUGCUAGGAAAAGUCAUGUGUCUGUUUAAGUAUACAAGCAUCUUCAGAGGGUUAUUUGUGAUUGCAACAUUUUCAGACUCAAUAGAGUCACAUAAUAAAGCAAAC